Molecule: transfer RNA, 82 nt
Filed under: Camillea tinctor
Lineage: Eukaryota; Fungi; Ascomycota; Sordariomycetes; Xylariales; Graphostromataceae
Description: tRNA-Phe
Source: RNAcentral
GGCUACAUGGCGCAGUGGUUAAGCGCCUAGCAGACAUUAGUGUGAAAUACUAAUGUAAUAAGUUCAAAUCCCAUUGUGGUCC